GUGACAGCCGCCGCGGUAAGACGGAGGGGGCGAGCGUUGUUCGGAAUUACUGGGCGUAAAGGGCGCGCAGGCGGUCAUGUAAGUCGGUGGUGAAAGCCCACGGCUUAACCGUGGAAUUGCCUUCGAAACUGCAUGACUUGAGUACGGAAGAGGAGAGCGGAAUUCCCAGUGUAGCGGUGAAAUGCGUGGAUAUUGGGAGGAACACCAGUGGCGAAGGCGGCUCUCUGGUCCGAUACUGACGCUGAGGCGCGAAAGCCAGGGGAGCAAACGGGAUUAGAAACCCGUGUAGUCC
This 292-nucleotide ribosomal RNA is filed under the name uncultured bacterium. RNAcentral's name for it is "partial 16S ribosomal RNA". It matches the Rfam family "Bacterial small subunit ribosomal RNA", at positions 505 to 796 of the family's 1533-position model. The record is from RNAcentral.